RNA transcript from Rattus norvegicus (Norway rat), 3678 nucleotides. It is a transcript of the gene named KH RNA binding domain containing, signal transduction associated 1, with no coding region annotated. Lineage: Eukaryota; Metazoa; Chordata; Mammalia; Rodentia; Muridae. The record is from RefSeq and is marked provisional.
UGGGCUCCCAGGCGAGACCACCAGCCUCAGAGUACCGGAAUAAAUCAGGGGCAGACUAUGGCUGGUAAGUUUUCAAUAAGAGUGUAGGCAAUAAAAAUGAUGUGUCUACCACAGGCUGGGCUGGGGUCAUCAAGGGAGAGGGAGAGAUUUGGGUAGCUGGUGACUUCAGAUGAGGUGGAUUAGGACAGUCAAGAAUUCGGGACUGGGUUUUUUGGCGCCUUUUUCUGUUCUGAGGCUUUCUAAGUGGGCGGGGUUGGAGGGAGAGAGAGAGAAAAUUGGAAUUUACUGGGGGUAGGGGAGCUGGGGACUCCAACCAAACAGGUGACAAACAGUAUUGCCAGUUGUUCUGGCCCCAAAUGUAUCUUUUAAUAAUUCUCUCACCAAAUUUGAACCUGCUCUAAUAGAAAUCUUGGUGUCUGACUUCCUGGAUGCUCUACUUGGGAAUGGAGGGAGCCCUUUUUUUCCGUUGUUUGCGUCUCUGACUGACCCCUUCUGAGUUUCAGUUCUGCAAUACAUAGCAUUUAGUCUUCUAUUUCCCAUUCCUGGCUUCCCUUUCUCACACCCACCCGGGGUCAGCCUCUCCCAGCAUCCCCAUCUUCCCAUCCCGUUCGCGCAGUCUUUCCCUCUCUUUCGGCCUCGCUUUGCUCUAAUCCUCGCGUUCCCCUCUCUCCAGAAGCGUUCCUUUCAUUUCCUUGCUGGAGAGGCGGCCCCCGAACCACACAGCAGCACCGUUCCCCCGGGACCUCCCCAGGCUCGGCCGUUGAAGGAGGCGUGGCCCACGAAUAACAGGUCUCCUGCCGCACACUCCGCGGGCCCGAGCGCAGACAAAGACAUUCCACGGCGCCCGCCCCCUCCGCGCACUCCGCCCGAGGGAGGGGGAGGGGAGACACGUGUACCGCUAGCGCCGGGUCACGUGGAAAAGGAAAAGAAACGAACGAAGGCGGCCGGCGUCUGCGCAGGCGCAAUAAACUCGGAGCCUGAGUGGGGAGGCUACGUCUUCAGUCGGCGCAGGCGUCGUGGCCCAACUGGGGACUUUGUUCUCCGCGGAGAAACUCAAGGGCGGUGCCGGUAGGCGCCUGCGCACGCGCGCCGCCUCAUUUCCGGUGCUCUCUCGCUGGGUCGCUCGGGUCGGCUUCGGUCGCUGUCGCUCCCGUUCUUCCACCCCCGCCAACCGCCGCUCGGGCCUCAGCGCCGUCGCGUCGCUUCCUCGCUCGCUCGCCACACAUCAUUCCUGAUGCAGCGCCGGGACGACCCUGCCGCGCGCCUCACCCGGUCCUCGGGCCGCAGCUGCUCCAAGGACCCGUCAGGUGCCCACCCCUCGGUGCGUCUGACCCCGUCUCGGCCGUCGCCGCUUCCUCACCGGUCCCGGGGAGGCGGAGGUGGGCCCAGAGGAGGCGCUCGGGCCUCGCCCGCUACGCAGCCGCCGCCGCUGCUGCCUCCCUCUAAUCCGGGUCCCGACGCGACUGUGGUGGGUUCCGCGCCGACCCCGCUACUGCCCCCGUCAGCCACAGCCGCGGCCAAGAUGGAGCCGGAGAAUAAGUACCUGCCUGAACUCAUGGCUGAGAAGGACUCGCUCGACCCGUCCUUCACUCACGCCAUGCAGCUGCUGUCCGUAGAAAUUGAGAAGAUUCAGAAGGGAGAGUCAAAAAAAGAUGACGAGGAGAAUUAUUUGGACUUAUUUUCUCAUAAGAACAUGAAGCUGAAAGAGCGGGUACUGAUCCCUGUCAAGCAGUAUCCAAAGUUCAAUUUUGUGGGGAAGAUUCUUGGACCACAAGGAAAUACAAUCAAAAGACUCCAGGAAGAGACUGGUGCAAAGAUCUCUGUCUUGGGGAAGGGUUCGAUGAGAGACAAAGCCAAGGAGGAAGAGUUGCGCAAGGGUGGAGACCCCAAAUAUGCCCAUUUAAAUAUGGAUCUGCAUGUCUUCAUUGAAGUCUUUGGACCCCCAUGUGAAGCUUAUGCUCUUAUGGCCCAUGCUAUGGAAGAAGUCAAGAAAUUUCUAGUACCAGACAUGAUGGAUGAUAUCUGCCAGGAGCAGUUUCUAGAAUUGUCCUACUUGAAUGGAGUUCCUGAACCCUCUCGUGGUCGUGGGGUGUCUGUGAGAGGACGAGGAGCUGCCCCUCCUCCUCCACCUGUUCCCAGAGGACGUGGUGUUGGGCCACCUAGAGGGGCUUUGGUUCGUGGAACCCCAGUAAGAGGCUCCAUCACCAGAGGUGCCACUGUGACUCGAGGGGUGCCACCCCCACCUACUGUGAGGGGUGCUCCAACACCGAGAGCUCGGACAGCUGGUAUUCAGAGAAUACCUUUGCCUCCAACACCUGCACCAGAAACAUACGAAGAUUAUGGAUAUGAUGAUUCAUAUGCAGAACAGAGCUACGAAGGCUAUGAAGGCUAUUACAGCCAGAGUCAAGGGGAGUCAGAGUAUUAUGACUAUGGACAUGGGGAGCUUCAAGAUUCUUAUGAAGCCUAUGGACAAGAUGACUGGAAUGGGACCAGGCCAUCACUGAAGGCUCCUCCAGCUAGGCCAGUGAAGGGAGCAUACAGAGAGCACCCAUAUGGACGUUAUUAAAAACAAACAGGAGGGGAAAAUAUCAGUUAUGAGCAAACUUGUUACUGAUUUCUUGUAUCCCAGGAUUCCUGUUGCUUUACCCACAACAGACAAGUGACUGAAAAUUCCUGAGGCUUUUCCUGGAAUAGACUGGGUAUUGGAGACCCAUGUCAGGAAAGGCAGACGGUGAGAGUGAAGUAGUAAGUCAAAGAAGAAGGCGUUGUCUCUCAGUUGCUACCCAGUGUUCCAGCUGUCAAAGGAGCCUGGAUACCAGGAGCUACCUGCUGUAUAGAGGCUGGCCUGGGGCACUUCCUGGGACAUAGAAACCCAGGAGAGGAGCUCAACAGUUGUGUUUCACCCUACCUCUUGAUCUGAGUUUCCCACAGAAAGCCAGCCAGGAUCUUUAGGCCCAUAUGGAGUCCUCAGUGCUUCAGGGAACUCAUUGCUAACAGUUCUAACUACUCAAGACAUUGGAGGGGCUGGGGUUUUAACUCCGUGAACACUUCACUUGCACGUGUAGAGGAUCUGGGUUCAUUCAAUAAAUGAAUAAAUAUAAGAAAGUAAAUAAAUAGCCUUUAAAGAAUUGAAAGGCAACAAGCAUGGUGGCACACACCAUUAAAUCUCGGCUCUUAGGAGGCAGAGACUGAUGGAUCCUGGAGUUCAAAGCCAACCUGAGCAAGUUCUAGGACAGCCAGGUCUACACAGAGAAGCUGGUCAUGAAAAGCCAAAGACCAGGGUCUAAACACCUGGCGUGGCUCUCCAGGUCAGAACACACUCCACUCCUGGGCUAUUCCCAGUCUUGUUUCCACUUAGCAUCCAUAGAAUGUGCUGGAACCUACUACUGUCUAUGCCCCACUGCCACACUUUUAUUGGAAGCUUUACUCUAGGAGCCCUUGGCCAGAGGGCUCCCAGAAAAGAUAGUUACCCUCUCUGUAAUACAUGAAGGGAAGUUGAGAAUCGUCUACUUAGGGUAAGACAUUUUAAACUCCGGGCCUGUGCUCCUCUUUGUUGUUAGCACUCGUCCACGUGUUCUUGAAGAGUGGGGCUGCUCUGCGUCACCUCUGUACUAUUCCCAAGUAUCUGCUUCUGCAUGAAGAGUUCAAUAAAGGUUUGGUCACGUGAUGAACAGCAAA